This is a long non-coding RNA of Corapipo altera (White-ruffed manakin), 488 nucleotides long. RefSeq lists it as uncharacterized. NCBI's taxonomy places the organism in Eukaryota, Metazoa, Chordata, Aves, Passeriformes, Pipridae. The transcript is spliced from 3 exons. The record is from RefSeq and is a predicted model, not a curated record.
UUCUCACACUCACACCUUCUCCCAUUCUGCCCCGUGUACUUCCACCAGAUCUACACAACUGGAACAUCAGGUAUCAGGAAAAAAUUCUUCCCUGGAAGACAAUAGGACUCAGAGGUCAGUGCCACUCCAGGACAACCAGAAUGCACAAAAACCAAGGGUUGGGUCUUUGAGGAGCAACACUGGAACAACUGAUGGUGCUACCCAGGGAACAGCUCAGCAAACUGGGGGUUUUCUGAGGAGGGGACACCAACGAUUCAGGGAAGGCUUCUCUAAGCCAGCAACCAAGAGGCAGAUUCCAAAAUUGAGGAGUUGCAUCUCCUUGACGCCCAGGUUGUUCUGCUCCAUUGGUCUGGGAUGGUUUGGUCUUGAAGUUCCUUCCUCAGCCAGAUGCUGCUUUUUAAAGAUUUCCAUUUGCAGCUUAAAAAUAUAGGAAUAUUGAAGUGAGGGCUGGGAAGAACAAUCAGUUCCCAAAAGUCAGCAAAAAUGUC